GAUUCAUACUUAUUCAUGACUUAGUCAUGUAUGGGAUGUUCUGGAUAUGAUAGAAUAUGUAUGGAGGUUAUGACUAGGUCAAUAUGGAAUCGAUCACUCCUGGUAAGAGAAGAUCGCAUCCUACUUGCUCUGAUCUAUUGAUGAUUUAGGAAGCCUUUGAUCAAAGCUGAAUGAAAAUUAUUGGUGCAAAAAUCCGCCUG
RNAcentral lists this long non-coding RNA (200 nucleotides) under Elaeis guineensis (African oil palm). Its description in RNAcentral is "long non-coding RNA (EGUI_LNC017472)". Lineage: Eukaryota; Viridiplantae; Streptophyta; Magnoliopsida; Arecales; Arecaceae. The record is from RNAcentral.